GAUUAACGCUGGCGGCGUGCAUAACACAUGCAAGUCGAACGACGAAACUUAGUAGACUUCUUCGGAAAGACACUAAGCGGAUUAGUGGCGAACGGGUGAGUAACGCGUGAGUAACCUGCCUUACACAAGGGGAUAGCCUUUGGAAACGAAGAAUAAUACCCUAUAAAACCAUAAAAGCACAUGCUAGAAUGGUCAAAGUGAUAGCGGUGUAAGAUGGACUUGCGUCUGAUUAGCUAGUUGGUGAGAUAAAAGCUCACCAAGGCAACGAUCAGUAGCCGGCUUGAGAGAGUGUACGGCCACAUUGGGACUGAGACACGGCCCAGACUCCUACGGGAGGCAGCAGUGGGGAAUUUUGCACAAUGGGGGAAACCCUGAUGCAGCGACGCCGCGUGAUUGAGAAGGCCUUCGGGUUGUAAAAAUCUUUUGUAUAGGAAGAAAAUGACAGUACUAUACGAAUAAGGUCCGGCUAAUUACGUG
This 477-nucleotide ribosomal RNA is filed under the name uncultured bacterium. RNAcentral's name for it is "partial 16S ribosomal RNA". It matches the Rfam family "Bacterial small subunit ribosomal RNA", at positions 28 to 507 of the family's 1533-position model. The record is from RNAcentral.